Molecule: ribosomal RNA, 275 nt
Filed under: uncultured bacterium
Lineage: Bacteria
Description: partial 16S ribosomal RNA
Rfam family: Bacterial small subunit ribosomal RNA
Source: RNAcentral
UCCGCCGGCGACCGGCGCACGGGUGAGUAACACGUAUGCAACCUGGCCGUGACAGAUGGAUAACCGGGAGGAAAUCCCGCCUAAUACAACAUAAUGCCGGGAGGGGGACAUCCCCUGCCGGCCAAAGGGGCGACCCCGGUCACGGAUGGGCAUGCGGCGCAUUAGGUAGUUGGUGGGGCAACGGCCCACCAAGCCGACGAUGCGUAGGGGUUCUGAGAGGAAGGUCCCCCACAUUGGAACUGAGACACGGUCCAAACUCCUACGGGAGGCAGCAG